UUUUGUUUCUUUGUGCUUUUUAGGGCCUCAGCUGCAGCAUAUGGACAGUCACAGGCCAGGGGUGGAAUCUGAGCUGUAGCUGCUGGCCUAGACCACAGCCACAGCAAUGUGGGAUCUGAGCCGCAUCUGGGACCCACACCACAGCUCAUGGCAAUGCCGGAUCCUUAACCCAUUGAGAGAGGCCAGGGAUGGAACCCGGGUCCUCAUGGAUACUAAUCAGAUUUGUUAACCGCUGAGCCGCUACAGGAAACUCCUAUAUAAUCAUUUAAAAUAAUAUAAACUAGGGCGCAUUUUAUGAUAAGUAAAUUAUACUUCGGCAAAGCCAUUAAAAAUAAUAACAUGAAAGUGAUAGCUGGUCAUUAUCUUUAAAGAGGAUGGGGAAAUACCAAAAAGUAUCCCACUACUUAGAGAUAACCACUAUUAACAUGGUAGUGUAUUUCCUGCCAGAUACAGAUAUAUAGAUACAUACGCCAAAUACACACAUACACGCACGCACACACACACAAUCCUCAAAAUUGGAAUCAUAUGUGUGUACCAUUCUGUAUCUUUCAUUUUCCAUUUCAUAUUAUUAUUAACAUUUUUAUAUACCACUAAAAAUCUAUGAAAAAUUAUUUCCAUGGCAAUGUUGCAUUCCAUUACAUGGAGGGGACAGAGUAAUUUAGCCAUCCCCUAACCAUCAGAUAACUCUGUUUUUCCCCACUGUGAUCUUGAUUUAAGUCUUUGGUGGCACCUCUGAUGACAGCCAGAGGAGAGAUGCUCAGAUGUACUAUGCUCAAUCAAAGAUGUGAAUGGUUUUAAGGCUCUUGGUACAUAUUGAAAAUUGUUUUCCAGAAAUGAUAUACCAAUUUAAAUUUUCCCAAGUGUAUCGUCGUGUAGUUCACCUCACUAAGUAUUAUUGUGUUUUCUACAUAUUUGCUAAUUUGCUGGUUGAGCAAUGCCAUUUUAAAUUUGUUUCCUCUGGUAUCUGGGGAAGAUGAACCUGUUUCAUAGGAUUAGUAACCAUAUUUCAUUUUAUGUGAAUUGUCUACGCAUACCCUGUGUCUGAAUUUCUAUAUACAUGUUAGCAUUUUUCUUAUUAGUUUACCACAAAGCAUGGUAAUAACCAUUUAUUGGUAGUACUUGUUGCAAGUAUUUUUCUCACUUUGCUAUUUGCCUUUCUGACUUUGAGUUUUUAAUACACUAAGGAUUUUAAUUUUUUCAAUGGAGUUGUAUUUCUUACUGUUUAAAAUGUCCCCAUCCAGGAGUUCCCACUGUGUCUCAGUAGUUAAUGAAUCUGACUAGGAACCAUGAGGUUGCAGGUUUGAUCCCUGGCCUCCCUCAGUGGGUUAACGAUCCAGCGUUGCCAUGAGCUGUGGUGUAGGUUGCAGACGUGGCUCGGAUCCUGUGUUGCUGUGGCUGUGGUGUAGGCCGGCAGCUACAGCUCCAAUUAGACCCCUAGCCUGGGAACCUCCAUAUGCCACGGGUAUGGCCCUGAAAAACAACAACAACAACAAAAAACAUAAACAAAACAAAACAAAAUAAAAUUUUGUUAAUAGCAUCAUACCAAUUUCAAUUCCUUGGUUUUGAAAAUGUGCUGUGGUAAAUGUGAGAGGCUAUGAUUAAAGAAAACUAGGUGUUGAAUUCUGUACUAUUUGGCAACUUUAUGUGAGUCUUAAAUUAUUUCUUAAAAUACAAAGUUUAAAAUGUUUUUUAAAAAGUUGAAAAAGGAGUUCCCGUCAUGGCGCAGUGGUUAACGAAUCCGACUAGGAACCAUGAGGUUGCGGGUUCGGUCCCUGGCCUUGCUCAGUGGGUUAACGAUCGGCGUUGCCGUGAGCUGUGGUGUAGGUUGCAGACACGGCUCGGAUCCCGAGUUGCUGUGGCUCUGGCGUAGGCCGGUGGCUACAGCUCCAAUUCGACCCCUAGCGUGGGAACCUCCAUAUGCCGCGGAAGCGGCCCAAGAAAUAGCAAAAAAAAAACAAAAAAAAAAAGUUGAAAAAUGUUGGCAUUGCCAUUGUGGCUCAGUGGUAAAGAACCCAACUAGUAUCCAUGAGGAUGUGGGUUCAAUCCCUGGCCCCGCUCCGUGGAUUAAGGAUCCAGCACUGCCGUGAGCUGUGGUGUACCUCACAAACAUGGCUUGGAUCCAGCAUUGCUCUGGCUGUGGCAUAGGCCAGCAGCUGCAGCUCCAAUUCAGUUCAUAGCCUGGGAACUUCCAUAUGCCACACGUGUGGCCCUAAAAAGGAAAAAAGUUUAAAAAUGUUAACUUAGGUUUUUUUUAAGUUUUGUGGCGUUAUGUUUUAACUCUUUCUCCAUCAGAAAUUGAUUUUGUAUAAAGUAAGAGGUGAGAUUCUGACUUAAUUCUUUUCCAGAUGGCUGGCCAACUGUCUUAGCCUUGCAGUUAAAUCAGUUUUCCUUUACCUGGUGAUUGGGCUGCCGUUUUUAUUAUACCCUGAAGCCUGUAAAUGGUAAGGACUGUUUCCAGGCUCUUUCUGUCCUUCUGAUCCAUUGCCAUUCCUUAUAUCCUUACCAUCCUGUUUUGAUUACUAAAACUUCAGAGUAUGUUUUAAAAUGUGACAUUUCAGGUAUUCUUUUUCCUUCACACAUCAAAUUAACCCUUUUUUUAAACUCACAUUUUCAACAAUUUUUGCCUUUUUAUUCUUCCAGAUGGAACAAACAAUGAUACAGAUAUCUCAGAGAUUUUUAUUGGAGUCUCAUUAAAUUUGCAAAUUCAGUUGAGAAAAGUUGACAACUUCCCAACAUCCAGUUUUCCCACCCAAGAUCACAGUAGGCAUGAAGCUCCAUUUAUUUAUCUUUUUAAGUUUCUCAGUAAAGAUAUAAAGAUGUGUGCUUGUCUUCUUACUGCUUUUUACAUUUCUUGGUCAAGUUAGCUAUUCAUCUGUUGUGACCGAGAUUUUCUAAAAUUAUGUUUUCCAACUGGUUGUACUGGUAUGUAAGUGGUACAGAUGUAAUGGUACAGAUCUAUAGGAUAGUGACUGCCCUUUAUAUCCAAUAAUAUUGCUGGAUUCUCUUAUUUAUUAUUAUGUCUUUUUUUUUUUUUUUUUUUUUUUAGGGCUGCACCUGUGGCAUACAGAGGUUCCCAAGCUAGGGGUUGAAUCAGAGCUAUAGCUGCCCACCUAUGCCUACACCACAGCAAUGCGGGAUCAUAGCUGCAUCUUCGACCUACACUACAGCUCACAGUAAUGCCGAAUCCUUAACCCACUGAGCGAGGCCAGGGAUCGAAUCUGCAUCCUCAUGGAUGCUAGUCAGAUUUGCUUCGGUUGAGCCACAAUGGGAACUCCUAUCUUGUAGUUUUUCAGUUAAUUCUCUUGAUUUUCAAGGUGGACCAACAGGUCUUCUUUAGAGCAGCAUAAUUUUGUCUCCUUUCCAAGAGCAAUAACAGUCUAUGUUUAUCUUCCAAAUGAGCUAUGAGGAUCAUUUGGUGGAUAAACAUAAACAAAUUACUUAUCAUCUAUGAACUUCAAUUCCCUUAUAAGGGAAAAGUAGAUAUAAUGCUAAUAUAUAGAAUACUAUAUACCUUGUUAAGGUGCUAUGAGUAUUCGACAAAAUAAGAUAUUUAAUAUCAACUCUAAUUUCAGAGUUCUUAAGAAGUGGUAGGUAAUCUUUUUUCCUAAGUCACCGCCUUGCUUAACAUGUUGCUGCAAUGGCUAAAACUUUCAGAUCAAUGUCGAAUCAUAGUAUCGAGUUUUGGUUUGAGUCUUCAUUGAGUUCCUAAUUUGAGUUAGAGGAUUUCUAGGGUUUUACCCAAAGAACCUGUUCAUCAGGCAAUGGUGCCUCUAGGGCUAUUACAUAAACACAGCAUGAAAAUCACAGACUCAAAAUCAUUAAUUAGUAAAAAAAUUAACAUAAAAUAAAAUUUCACUUCAUUAAGAAUUUUAUGUACAAAUUGUAAUAUCUGUGCAUUGAACCUCGUAUCAACCAAU
This 3917-nucleotide long non-coding RNA is filed under the name Sus scrofa (pig). Its description in RNAcentral is "lncRNA (ENSSSCG00035080861.1)". The record is from RNAcentral. Lineage: Eukaryota; Metazoa; Chordata; Mammalia; Artiodactyla; Suidae.